Molecule: long non-coding RNA, 327 nt
Filed under: Salvia miltiorrhiza (redroot sage)
Lineage: Eukaryota; Viridiplantae; Streptophyta; Magnoliopsida; Lamiales; Lamiaceae
Description: long non-coding RNA (SMIL_LNC014274)
Source: RNAcentral
AAAGAUAAGCGCUUCUUCUUACAACCAUGACUCACUAAUCCAAUAUGUCACUCAUAUACCCCUAUGUGGCCUCUCUCUCAUCCUAUCCAAACCUUCUUCCUCAACCACAUGCUUUGAGGUGUUGUACCUUUGCCCAAGACUUUUAUAUGCAAUGCAAUCCUCCUUUUUUUUUUUUUUAAGAAAACAUACAAAUUGAUAAACAAAUACUAAUUUUAAAACUUGUACGAAAGUUGAUAUAUUUGAUUUUACACGUUAACCAUUUUAUGAUUAGACUAACACACUUAUGCACAAUUUUCAUUUUUUAUUGACAAUUACUUCUGACGGUCG